Molecule: small RNA, 102 nt
Filed under: Escherichia coli
Lineage: Bacteria; Pseudomonadati; Pseudomonadota; Gammaproteobacteria; Enterobacterales; Enterobacteriaceae
Description: partial RtT sRNA
Rfam family: RtT RNA
About the family: This family represents a bacterial cis-regulatory element known as RtT RNA. The exact function of RtT is unknown although it is thought that it may be involved in changing the cellular response in relation to amino acid starvation.
Source: RNAcentral
AUUCUGCCCAUGCGGGGAAGGAUGAGAAGCUUCGACUAAGGUUCGGCUCGAGCGUCAGCGAGAGAGCGUUGCCGCAGGCAACGACCCGAAGGGCGAAGCGCG